Plodia interpunctella (Indianmeal moth) is the source of this 1788-nucleotide RNA transcript. It is a transcript of the gene named lethal (1) G0469, with no coding region annotated. NCBI's taxonomy places the organism in Eukaryota, Metazoa, Arthropoda, Insecta, Lepidoptera, Pyralidae. The record is from RefSeq and is a predicted model, not a curated record. The transcript has 5 exons.
GCGUCUAACGUUCCAACGCAGCCGUGUAGCUCUACGCUCCCGCGAUAACAAAACCACGCGCAAUUGUGAAAGUGUUGCUUAUAAAACGCGAUUUCACGAGUGAGAGUACUUUGCCGCGCCGACGGCCGCCGAAUACCAACUUCGCAACAGUUAAGUGGGGAAGGAUUAUCUCGUGAAUUUUAGAGAGGAGAGGGUUCAAUGGAAGCGAGGUUCGUGACCUGCCGGAGUUUCCAGCAGAUCAAGCCGCCCGAAAAGAGCCUCGCGCCGCCACCGACGGUGAAGGGGCUCUUGUCACGUUUCGGGAGCCAAGCCCAGGCUUUGUUCGCACCCAAGAAACCCCGUUUCGGAUCUUCAGUGGCUAUUCACAAACUCCGCGAAACCAAGUGGUUCAAACAUGAAGAACAGAACAUAUUGUGUGCUGUCCUCGAGUCAGGAUUCGUACUCGAAGUCAGGGCGGAGGACCCGCUGCCUCCAGACUCUACCUUGUCACCAGACUACCAUAUGUAUGCCAUUGCGAUGUGGAAGAAGGGUAAAGAAAAAACAAAGAACCCGGAACAGAUAGAAGUAUACACAGUGCAGCAAAAAGGUGUACGGAAACGAGUAGUCAAGACUACACUGGGUGCCUUUUGGAAAAAGGAUUCUGUGAUUCGCAUCAACAACGUUGAUGACAAACAGGAAACGCCCAACAAUGAAAAGGACAUCAGAGCUAAGCUGGAUAUGGCAACAAAGUCAAGGUUCGAGAGGAACUGGCAUAAUACACUGCAUUUCGUCCACUGGUGUCGUUACGGAGAAACGCCCCAGGAAGCUCGCAUGAGACAGAUCAGCUUAACGACGUCGAAAACACCCAUGAUUAUCAUCUUUUGAUGGUAAUCGUUGAGGCGCUUUGGACAAUUACAACUGGCGACAAAGAUACCGAUAAGCGAGUCGCUCAAGUGGGGCAACAUCGGCAUGAACAUGGGCGUAAUGCUCGUCAGUCAAAGUCAGAACAAUGGCAGAGAAAAAGCUAAAUCAGUCUGAGUACAACCUGCCAGCAACAAUGCUGGCCAUUACACUUGCUACGCGUGCUUCUGGCCACCACGGCCAAAGAACAUCGCCAGCGUCUAAUUUGAAUUCGAAUUACGCUUCGGAAAAGAUAUUCCUUUUUUGAUUCUCAUUUUUUUGUCUCCUCUCUUGUGACAGUAUUCUCUUCGUCUCUCUUUGAUUUGCUCCACUUAUAGCCUCUUCUAUUCGAUUUUUAAAUGUGAAAAUUUAAAUCUAAAACAUUCCUGAUAAGAUAAAAGACGCCCCCUAGGCUUGUACUUUAAAAUCUUCGAUAUAAAGUUCUAAUCUAUUGAUAUUACAAUGUUUAUCAUACUUUAAUCUUAACAUAAGCGAUAAUAGUUAAGAGGAAAUCAUUAUAUGGUCUGAGAGUGACAACCCUAGUCUUAUGAGUAUUUAUAUGGUGAUUUUCUGAUUAAGAAGACUGUUUUGAUUUUCUAUGAAAAUUAUUGUUGUGUAAACGAGUGACUAUGAAAAUUGCACAAUUGACAAAAGUACAUUUUCUGAGAAAUUUGCCUUGUCAACAUCAUCAACAUCAUUUGAACAUCACUGUUUUUUUUGUGGUCGAAAAAAAGAGUUUUAAAAAAGUAUUGAAAUGUUGUUUAAAGUAUUUUUAAUUUAUAAAGUAUACUUAAUGCGAGCUAAUAUUAUGAGACAAUCAGAUGUUGACUGUUGUGAGAGUAUUCUACUAUUAAAUUAAUGUUCUAUUUAUAACGAAGCAUUUUUAUAAAUAAAUGAUUACUUGAUUAA